GAGGAACGGCACAUGACCCAGGCCUAUGCCAAUCAGCAUUUCACAUUCCUCAUGAUUGGUUCAAAGCUCCCACAGGCCCAUUCUGGUGACUCAUGACUUGUAUACACAGAACAACAGAGAAAAGAAAAAUAGAAUUAGAUAAACAAGCAGGGGCAACAGUGAGGGCUAUGUCUUACAAAGAACCAUUUUUAAUUGAAUUCUUUUUCUCUCUUGAAAUUCUUUUUUUUUCCCUCAAAAGUGGGAAAAAAUUCUCAAAUAACAACAGCAAACCAAGAAAGCAGCUUAGUCUGCACUGCAUUUGCAUUUCUUAGUUUCAUUCCCUAUUCAAAAAUGUCUUAGGCAAAUGUGUUUUGACAGUGGGAAUGAACAUGCACUUUAAAAUUAUGGGACCUAGUAGAUUUAAUGGAAUGAGCCCUGGAUUGGGAGCCAGGGGACCUGGCUUUGAAUGGUCCCAACCCAGGCACUUAUUUACCUUAGUUUCUUGACUUAUAAAAUUAAACACACCAUCUACUGAUGAAUGGAUAAACAAAAUAUAAUAUAUCCACAGAAGGGAAUCUUGUUCAGCCAUAAGAAGGAAUGAAGUAUGGACAUGUGCUAUAAUGUGGAUGUGCCUUAAAGACAUUAUGCUAAGUGAAAGAAGCCAGACACAAAGACCAUACAUUUCACGAUUCCACUUACAUGAAAUGUGCAGAAUAGCUAAAUCUAAGGACAUAAAGUAGGUUAGCUAAUGGGUACAGGUUUCUUUCUGGGUUGAUGAAAUGUUUCAAAAUUGAUUGUGCUGAUGGUUGUAUUUAAAACGCUGCAUAUACUGAAAACCAUUUAAUUGUACAUUUUAAAUGAGUGAAUUUUAUGAUAUGUGAAUUAUAUCUCAAUAAAGUUGUUCAAAAAAAAGAGAAAAAAAUGAACAGUGAUUUCUACCCAGCCCAGAUAUGUUGUGAGGCUCAAAUGAAUUGUUUUUACAAAUAAGAAAACCACUUAAAACUAUACAAUGAAAAUUAUUUUUAAACUUAAUUAUUUCUUAAAUUCAAGGCUGAUGUACUAAAGGAAUUUUUCCAGUGACAACU
RNAcentral lists this small RNA (1064 nucleotides) under Pongo abelii (Sumatran orangutan). Its description in RNAcentral is "processed transcript". The record is from RNAcentral. Lineage: Eukaryota; Metazoa; Chordata; Mammalia; Primates; Hominidae.